CUUAUUUUUUAAUUAUUUCAGGUCACUCAUUCAGAUUCUAGUUUAAAGAAUAGUGUCACAGUAACAUGGACUGCUCCAGCAACUGCUGGCAUGCUUGAAAUCAGGUAUACUGUGGUUGUAAGGAAUGAUGGCAGUAGUAUAUUCUAUGCAAACAUGAACGCUGGUGAUUUCAGACCUGGUAGCACUGAGAUAUGUCCAAUGACUGAUAAGGUAAGUUCCAUAAAUCCUUAUAAUAUUCUAUAUACAUUUGUAUCAAAUUACUUAAGUGCUGACAUGUACCUUAUUUACUUAAAUAAAAGCCCAGGCGUCUAUUUCCUAAAAUGGUACUCGGACCUCCAAAAAAUUUUUAAAAAUAAAAUAAAACUUGGGCCCAGAGUGGGAUUGGAACCACUGACCUCACUCAUUUGACUUCAGGAACUUAAGGAAGUAUCUGCAAGGCAUCUGAGUUGUUUUUAGCCUACGUGUAGAUUUGCAUAUUUAUAGUUCAAUUCUAUUGCAACACUGGCAUUUAUUUGCAUCUGGCUUUUAUUUAAGGAUAUACGGUACAUAGUAACAUGCUUUUAAAUUGUUUUUAAAGUCAUUUUGUAUUAUGCACACUACAUGUCCUUAAUACAGAGGUGGAGAUACUUUUAUAUUGGUUUGUUGUACUAAUUGGGACAUUUUAUU
Amphimedon queenslandica is the source of this 666-nucleotide long non-coding RNA. RefSeq lists it as uncharacterized. The record is from RefSeq and is a predicted model, not a curated record. The transcript has 3 exons. NCBI's taxonomy places the organism in Eukaryota, Metazoa, Porifera, Demospongiae, Haplosclerida, Niphatidae.